UUUUUUUUUUUUUUUUUUUAUUUUUUUUUUUUUUUUUUUUUUUCGUCGGAAAGAAUCUAAGUUUAUGCAAAACCAAAGUCAUCGAGGCAAUGCUCCAGACCGAGAUAGGCCAGGGCAAAAUUACCGAAGAAAUGUCAACCAAAGUAA
RNAcentral lists this non-coding RNA (147 nucleotides) under Minutocellus polymorphus. Lineage: Eukaryota; Bacillariophyta; Thalassiosirophyceae; Cymatosirales; Cymatosiraceae. The record is from RNAcentral.